AGACAACAAAUACAAUAUCAAAAAAUAAAACAAGCAACAACAUCUGCCCCAUCUUCAGCCUCCUCCUUGGCGGCUUCUAGCCCUGGAGGACAGAGAUCCAUUGACUUGAUGUUACAGCAAGUAAAGGUGAUUGGCAAAUAGGCUUAAUUGCC
This is a non-coding RNA of Notechis scutatus (mainland tiger snake), 152 nucleotides long. NCBI's taxonomy places the organism in Eukaryota, Metazoa, Chordata, Lepidosauria, Squamata, Elapidae. The record is from RefSeq and is a predicted model, not a curated record.